Molecule: long non-coding RNA, 310 nt
Filed under: Elaeis guineensis (African oil palm)
Lineage: Eukaryota; Viridiplantae; Streptophyta; Magnoliopsida; Arecales; Arecaceae
Description: long non-coding RNA (EGUI_LNC073009)
Source: RNAcentral
GAACGACAACAAAAAUUUUCAGAUCUGAAAUUUUUCUUUACAGAUUUCAGAUCUAAAUCUUAAUCUCAUGCAUAUGACGUGGCUCUGAUAUCAAUGUUGGGAUUUCAUGGUUUCAUGCAUGCAAAAAAUUUUAAAACAUAUAUGCAGUGGAAACUAAAAAAAUUUGGAUUAAAUUAUUUUAAUCUAAGCAUGCAUAAGAUCACAUCUUAAAACCAUAUAACAUGAUCUAUAUAUGUGAGAUAGGAUUCAGAUACAGAAAUCAAAUAGAGAAGAAUAAAUAUAGAAGAUCUAAUCUUCAUACCUUGGCACG